CGGAAAGAUUUAUCGUAACAUAAAUUUGCUGAGAAGCAUUUGAAGAACACAUCUCCAUAAACAGUUACUAUCAAAUCCAUUUAUAUAGGAAUGUGCUAAGGUCCAGAGAUCUUAAAUAGCAGGCCUAUGUUUACAUAGCCAGGAAUGGCAGGACCUAUUUUGGUGUCUCCUGGAGGAAACAAACCUUGGUAUGAAUAAAGAAAAGAUGUCUGCAGAGGAGAACCAGGAAGGAUAAUAAUUAGUGUUUGGAAAUAUUUUAUUUAGUGACAAUAUUGCAACUUCCUAGUUUUAUGGUUUAGACAGCACUUUCCAGGACUUUGAUAUAUGAACUGUCAUAACUCUAGCCCCAGUCUGAACCCCAGCCACUAAGCGCACACAUUCCCUCAUAAGUGCCGCACCUGGACAAACAGGACUCAUACUUUUUGGCUCCAAGGACAAUAUUUCUUUGCUGGAUCAUUUUCCUGUCUGCAUCCCCGGCCAUCCCACAGAGAAAUGCCCUCCUCGUGUUGUCUGUAAAACCCCAGGAAUGCCUCUCCUGACACUUCAGCCUUUCGUAGUGGUUUGGGCAAUUUGGAAAUACAAUUAAAGCAAUAGUUUAGUGAUUUUUCUGUGCCUCCUCUGUUUUUGCAAGCCCCACGGAUUAUUAUUUUUACUGUGGCUGUGAAGAGCCCUGAUCUUGUCCACUAAAUCCUUCUAUCUAAUGAGCAAUGGCUUAACAAAAG
This 722-nucleotide long non-coding RNA is filed under the name Cricetulus griseus (Chinese hamster). RNAcentral describes it as "lncRNA (ENSCGRG00015039610.1)". The record is from RNAcentral. Lineage: Eukaryota; Metazoa; Chordata; Mammalia; Rodentia; Cricetidae.